CCCCUUCAAAUCCACCUCGUGAGGCCCUAUAUCUAACGUGUCCCUCGGGACUAUGGAUAUAAACGCGCAUGUAAUACACGGAUCGGACCCGGGGGCGGUACCCGGCGACUCCACCAACCAACCAUGCGGUUCGGGCCUUCAUUUGAGGCGCCUAACCGUGGAUUUUGGGGUCGAAAUAGGAUCGACGAACGUCUAAAGAUGUUAGCUUUAUCUCGGUGAGAUACCACCGUUAUCGGUUCACUUAAGCUAGUUGCAAAUGACAACAAAGCUCCGAUGGCUCUGGCAGCGUAAGCUGUUCGAGAAAUCGAAACCUUAAGUCCUUACGCCUAGCAGCGUCUGGCGGGGUCCGCAGGUACCUGGCAACAGAAACCUGCACC
RNAcentral lists this transfer-messenger RNA (377 nucleotides) under Rhodobacterales bacterium. It matches the Rfam family "Alphaproteobacteria transfer-messenger RNA". Rfam says of the family: Bacterial tmRNA, also known as 10Sa RNA or SsrA, is named for its dual tRNA and mRNA-like properties. Its role is to liberate the mRNA from a stalled ribosome. The record is from RNAcentral. Lineage: Bacteria; Pseudomonadati; Pseudomonadota; Alphaproteobacteria; Rhodobacterales.